AUUGAACGCUGGCGGCAGGCCUAACACAUGCAAGUCGAACGAGUGGCGGACGGGUGAGUAAUGUCUGGGAAACUGCCCGAUGGAGGGGGAUAACUACUGGAAACGGUAGCUAAUACCGCAUACCAUCGGAUGUGCCCAGAUGGGAUUAGCUAGUAGGUGGGGUAACGGCUCACCUAGGCGACGAUCCCUAGCUGGUCUGAGAGGAUGACGGGCCCGACGGGAAAGGGGCGACGGUCAAGACGCCUACGGGAGGCAGCAGUGGGGAAUAUGGCAGAAUGGGCGCAAGCCUGAUGCAGCCAUGCCGCGUGUAGGAAGAAGGCCUUCGGGUUGUAAAGUACUUUCAGCGGGGAGGCGUUACUCGCAGAAGAAGCACCGGCUAACUCCGUGCCAGCAGCCGCGGUAAUAC
Molecule: ribosomal RNA, 406 nt
Filed under: uncultured bacterium
Lineage: Bacteria
Description: partial 16S ribosomal RNA
Rfam family: Bacterial small subunit ribosomal RNA
Source: RNAcentral